Brassica napus (rape) is the source of this 77-nucleotide non-coding RNA. The record is from Rfam. Lineage: Eukaryota; Viridiplantae; Streptophyta; Magnoliopsida; Brassicales; Brassicaceae.
AAUCCAUGGUGAGGACAUUCUCUGCGAUAGUCAUUGAAACGCUCCCAUGCGUCGAAGAAAGGCUCAUCAAUGAGAUG